RNAcentral lists this long non-coding RNA (452 nucleotides) under Chrysemys picta bellii (western painted turtle). RNAcentral's name for it is "lncRNA (ENSCPBG00000026669.1)". The record is from RNAcentral. Lineage: Eukaryota; Metazoa; Chordata; Testudines; Emydidae.
UUACUUUCAUACAUUGCAUAAAGGCCCAUUGCAAUUGUCCUGACUCUCAUUUCAGAAAAUCAAAGAAAUCUAUAUGUCAGCCAGGCACAUGAGUGUUGCUCAUCCAGUGUACAGGGCUUGACGAUCUGACUGAGCACAGCCAUCGUGGACACAAAACUUCUUUAUGUAAGAAGAAAACUGCAAUAGCAGCACUUUCACAUUUCAUCUGUUGUCACCAAAAACAGGAAUUAGGUGAAAGACUGGCACUUUGCAAAUUCCUUAACUCGAUGUUUCUAGUGCUGGGAACAAGGUGAUGAGAUUUGCCAGCCCUGGGGAUCUCUGAGGUCUGCAGGAGGUCCAAACAGAAGCCAGACAAGCUAUUAUCACACCAUGUCUGACCGCAGAUCACAAAAUAGCCCCUUCUUUUGAGGUUGUAGCCCAGCUAUGAAGACACGUGAGCUAUGUGUGGUUAG